AUGGCCGACAAGGAGAACGCGGCCCCCGCCGCGGAGGCUGGCCCCCGGCUCACCCGUGCCGCGGCCAAGCGCGCCGCCACCUGCUCCGCGGGCCCCUCCGGCGGCGCCAAGCGGAAGCGGGUGGCGCUCAGCGAGCUCCCCAUCGUCUCCAACGCGGGGGUCGUCCUCCGCCAGCCGUCGAAGCCCGCCAAGCCCGCGGCUGCGGCCAAGGGGGAGGAGGAGCGCGGGGGCUUGAGCAGGUGCGCGUCCACCUCGCCGACCCCCGCCGAGGAGGAGGUCAGCGGCGGCGGCGGCGGCAGCGAAACCCAGCUCAGCGGGUCCUACGCCUCCGACAUCUACACCUACCUCCGCACUAUGGAGGUGGAGGCGCCGCGCCGGCCGGCGGCAGACUACAUCGAGACCGUGCAGACGGACGUGACGGCCAACAUGCGGGCUAUCCUAAUCGACUGGCUCGUCGAGGUUGCCGAGGAGUACAAGCUCGUUGCCGACACGCUUUACCUCACAGUCUCCUAUGUCGACCGCUUCCUCUCCGCCAACCCGCUCGGCCGCAACAGGCUGCAGCUCCUUGGUGUCGCUGCAAUGCUCAUUGCCUCGAAGUACGAGGAGAUCAGUCCCCCGCAUGUGGAGGACUUCUGCUACAUCACGGACAACACCUACACCAGGCAGGAGCUUCUCACCAUGGAGAGCGACAUACUCAAGCUCCUCAACUUCGAGAUAGGCAGUCCGACCAUCAAGACCUUCCUCAGGCGGUUUACAAGAUCUGGCCCAGAAGACAAGAAGCGCUCCAGCUUAUUACUGGAGUUCAUGGGUAGCUAUCUUGCUGAGCUGAGUCUUCUGGACUACAGCUGUCUCCGGUUCUUGCCAUCAGUGGUUGCUGCUUCAUCACUUUUUCUUGCUAGGCUGACCAUUGGACCAGACACUAAUCCUUGGGGCAAGGAAAUGCAUAAACUGACAGGCUACAAGGCAUCAGAGCUGAAGGAUUGCAUUAUAGCCAUACAUGAUUUGCAGCUCAAUAGAAAGGGUCAAUCGUUACCAGCAAUUCGAGACAAGUAUAAGCAACACAGGUUCAAAUGUGUAUCGAUGUUGCUUCCUCCUGUCGAGAUCCCUGCAUCGUACUUCCAAGACUUAACAGAAUAG
This 1137-nucleotide ribosomal RNA is filed under the name Triticum aestivum (bread wheat). Its description in RNAcentral is "partial small subunit ribosomal RNA". Lineage: Eukaryota; Viridiplantae; Streptophyta; Magnoliopsida; Poales; Poaceae. The record is from RNAcentral.